GAUGAACGCUGGCGGCGUGCCUAAUACAUGCAAGUCGAGCGAACAGACGAGGAGCUUGCUCCUCUGACGUUAGCGGCGGACGGGUGAGUAACACGUGGAUAACCUACCUAUAAGACUGGGAUAACUUCGGGAAACCGGAGCUAAUACCGGAUAAUAUAUUGAACCGCAUGGUUCAAUAGUGAAAGACGGUUUUGCUGUCACUUAUAGAUGGAUCCGCGCCGCAUUAGCUAGUUGGUAAGGUAACGGCUUACCAAGGCAACGAUGCGUAGCCGACCUGAGAGGGUGAUCGGCCACACUGGAACUGAGACACGGUCCAGACUCCUACGGGAGGCAGCAGUAGGGAAUCUUCCACAAUGGGCGAAAGCCUGACGGAGCAACGCCGCGUGAGUGAUGAAGGUCUUCGGAUCGUAAAACUCUGUUAUUAGGGAAGAACAGAUGUGUAAGUAACUAUGCACGUCUUGACGGUACCUAAUCAGAAAGCCACGGCUAACUACGUG
This 497-nucleotide ribosomal RNA is filed under the name uncultured bacterium. RNAcentral describes it as "partial 16S ribosomal RNA". It matches the Rfam family "Bacterial small subunit ribosomal RNA", at positions 28 to 507 of the family's 1533-position model. The record is from RNAcentral.